UCAGCUUUACUAACUUUUCAUUUGAAACCUGCUCAAAUUCAAGUUCUUAAAUUUUGUUCAAAAUGUGUAAAUUGUUGACCACUGUUGCCUUGCUGUUAAGCUCUAUCGGUCUCUCUUUCUCACUUCCUGUAUCUGUAUGCCGCUUGUUAUUAUUAAUAAGCCAAUGGAUUGCGUACUUACCUUCAACUUUAGCCAGUGCCAAAACGGAUAUCGUUUGUAGUGCGGGCACCGCCCAGGCAACCAAAUGGAAUAAAUGAGAUUUAUUUUCAAUUGCCUCGUGGCCCCAUUUGAGUCCAGCGGCCAGGAACCACGCAAAGGCCAAACACGACCACCACGCAAAGGCGGCCAUACAACAGAAAUACAAUGCCAUGAAUAAUACGGUGCAGGCGGUGGUCUGACGAUGACCCUGCGAGAGAAUGAGAGUGCCGAGAAGGAUGUUGGUAAAUAAAAAAUGGAAUUCGUUUCACCUGCUCCACCGCGGCUCGAACUUUGGCUUGACUUACCUGCGUUAUGGUGGACAUCAUCUGCAGGCGUCCCAGCUUCACUGGCGGCGGAAAUGGUUCACGGCACGACACUGAAUCGCCCGCACCAAGUCCGGCCACAUAGGCACAGCCGACGACC
Molecule: non-coding RNA, 621 nt
Organism: Drosophila virilis
Lineage: Eukaryota; Metazoa; Arthropoda; Insecta; Diptera; Drosophilidae
Source: RefSeq, a predicted model, not a curated record